CGUUCGAGCGUCAUUACACCACUCAAGCCUGGCUUGGUAUUGGGCAUUAUCUUCGCUGAUAGGCCUUCAAUUCUUCGGCUGGACGGUACGAAUCUCAGCGUUGUGGUUUCAUCAAAUCGCUGGCGAGGAGGACCGGACGUCGCCGUAAAACUUCAUUACAGGUUGACCUCGGAUCGGGUAGGGAUACCCGCUGAACUUAA
Molecule: unclassified non-coding RNA, 200 nt
Filed under: soil metagenome
Description: partial contains internal transcribed spacer 2 and large subunit ribosomal RNA
Source: RNAcentral